Molecule: long non-coding RNA, 461 nt
Organism: Mauremys reevesii (Reeves's turtle)
Lineage: Eukaryota; Metazoa; Chordata; Testudines; Geoemydidae
Exons: 3
Source: RefSeq, a predicted model, not a curated record
UAGGAGGAAGGAAUACCAGCACCCUAGACAUAGCUAGAGAGAGCUCCUGGAUUGCUGCUAAGACUGACAGGCUGAAGUACUGAGGCAAGGGGAAGAAGAACCUGGCUACGCCACUGAGUGGUAUGGGUCCGGGAACAAAAGUGACAGCGGCGAGGCACCAACAGAGGAUGACGCCCUGGCUACCAGAGCUAAUUCCCGUUUCAGCCGCAAGGAGGCACCGGAGUGCUGUAAAACAUGUUUGCUCUCAAACGGUCAGCCUGUCAGUCCUGCCUGAUGGACAAGACCUGAUCCCUUCUACCAAAAGUAAAUGGCACAUUGUGAGACAUCGCUAACUGCCUCUAUACAGCCAUGAAGAUGCUACAUGCAAAAGGGCUCAUCCCAUCAGCUUGAAUUCUGGAAGAAGGAAAUCAAGAUAGCAAACAAGAAAAUUUUUAAUCUCCUGCUGUUGGACUCUCACAGGG